CUUAAUAGUAAUGAUGCUGGCAUGGAUUAUCCCCAAUCAAUCACACAUGGUCAUCCUGACUAUGGUGACCCUGUCAGAACAUGAUUGACACUCCAACACAUUGGAUUCUCUGACAGUGUGGUGACACUGCCAGAAAUUUACAAUCAUUCACAUCUGUUUAGUUGACAAUAUGGUGACCGUAGAAUUACCACAAUCCACCACUUGUCAACAACCUGUCAGAUCUGUAAUACAUUGCUGGGUGCAAUCUCAAGGGGCCCCAUUAGUAGUAACAAAAGACACACAACACCAGUUAUAAAACAAUUUUACUCCACCCAGGUAAAUCUGACAUCUAUUUCUGUAGUGAGAGACCCAAGGAAAUUACUUUAGGUCUCUAUCCCUAUUAUUCCAGAACAUAUAUAUCAACCUGAAAUGGAGGGAUGCCCACC
This is a non-coding RNA of Pelobates cultripes (western spadefoot toad), 425 nucleotides long. NCBI's taxonomy places the organism in Eukaryota, Metazoa, Chordata, Amphibia, Anura, Pelobatidae. The record is from the annotation of a GenBank genome assembly.